RNAcentral lists this ribosomal RNA (63 nucleotides) under Halobacillus fulvus. Its description in RNAcentral is "Halobacillus sp. SKP4-6 partial 16S ribosomal RNA". It matches the Rfam family "Eukaryotic small subunit ribosomal RNA", at positions 1119 to 1181 of the family's 1831-position model. Lineage: Bacteria; Bacillati; Bacillota; Bacilli; Caryophanales; Bacillaceae. The record is from RNAcentral.
GGGAGUAUGGUCGCAAGGCUGAACCUUAAAGGAAUUGACGGAAGGGCACCCCCAGGAGUGGAC